GCAGCCAAAGCUCAAAUUUGAAAGCUCCUAACAAGGCGCAUUGUAAUUUGAAGAUGGUAUUCCGAGUUAGUCCUUUACCUCAGUUCCUUGGAACAGGACGCCAUACAGGGUGAGAGCCCCGUGUGGUAUUGGUAGCUUUCUCAUGUGGUUUACCUUCGAAGAGUCGAGUUGUUUGGGAAUGCAGCUCUAAGUGGGUGGUAAAUUCCAUCUAAAGCUAAAUAUUGGCGAGAGACCGAUAGCGAACAAGUACUGUGAAGGAAAGAUGAAAAGAACUUUGAAAAGAGAGUGAAAAAGUACGUGAAAUUGUUGAAAGGGAAGGGAAUUGGACUAGACUUGGAUUUCUGUUAUCAUCAGUCUUUCGGGGCUGUGCACUAGCAGUUUUCUAGGCCAGGAUCUGUUUGGAGGCCAGGAUAAAACCCAAAGAAUGUGGCUCUUCGGAGUGUUAUAGCUUUGGUUGAAUACUGGCAUUCUGGACAGAGGACCGCGCU
This 488-nucleotide ribosomal RNA is filed under the name Tardiomyces blankii. RNAcentral's name for it is "[Candida] blankii partial 26S ribosomal RNA". It matches the Rfam family "Eukaryotic large subunit ribosomal RNA", at positions 98 to 596 of the family's 3401-position model. Lineage: Eukaryota; Fungi; Ascomycota; Dipodascomycetes; Dipodascales; Trichomonascaceae. The record is from RNAcentral.